RNAcentral lists this ribosomal RNA (424 nucleotides) under uncultured prokaryote. RNAcentral describes it as "bacterial SSU rRNA". It matches the Rfam family "Bacterial small subunit ribosomal RNA", at positions 355 to 796 of the family's 1533-position model. The record is from RNAcentral.
UGGGGAAUAUUGGACAAUGGGGGCAACCCUGAUCCAGCCAUGCCGCGUGAGCGAUGAAGGCCUUAGGGUUGUAGAGCUCUUUCACCGGUGACGAUGAUGACGGUAGCCGGAGAAGAAGCCCCGGCUAACUCCGUGCCAGCAGCCGCGGUAAUACGGAGGGGGCAAGCGUUGUUCGGAAUUACUGGGCGUAAAGGGCGCGCAGGCGGUCUGUUGCGUCAGGCGUGAAAGCCCCGGGCUCAACCCGGGAACUGCGCUUGAUACGGGCGGACUUGAAUCCGAGAGAGGAUGGUGGAAUUCCCAGUGUAGAGGUGAAAUUCGUAGAUAUUGGGAAGAACACCGAUGGCGAAGGCAGCCAUCUGGCUCGGUAUUGACGCUGAGGCGCGAAAGCGUGGGGAGCAAACAGGAUUAGAUACCCCUGUAGUCC